GCUCUUUUAACUCAAUAGGUAGAGUAGGCAGCUCAUAACUGUCCGGUUGUUGGUUCGAGUCCAGCAAGGAGCA
This 73-nucleotide transfer RNA is filed under the name Weissella muntiaci. Its description in RNAcentral is "Weissella sp. 8H-2 tRNA-Met". It matches the Rfam family "tRNA". Rfam says of the family: Transfer RNA (tRNA) molecules are approximately 80 nucleotides in length. Their secondary structure includes four short double-helical elements and three loops (D, anti-codon, and T loops). Further hydrogen bonds mediate the characteristic L-shaped molecular structure. tRNAs have two regions of fundamental functional importance: the anti-codon, which is responsible for specific mRNA codon recognition, and the 3' end, to which the tRNAs corresponding amino acid is attached (by aminoacyl-tRNA synthetases). tRNAs cope with the degeneracy of the genetic code in two manners: having more than one tRNA (with a specific anti-codon) for a particular amino acid; and 'wobble' base-pairing, i.e. permitting non-standard base-pairing at the 3rd anti-codon position. The record is from RNAcentral. Lineage: Bacteria; Bacillati; Bacillota; Bacilli; Lactobacillales; Lactobacillaceae.